GCUCUCCGACUCUAAAAAACCGAUCUCCAAAUGCUUCUUUCUUUAUCCUCUCCUCCCUUUUAAGUCUGUGUGGUCUCCUUUUUCUUCCGCCUUGGACUCCGAAUUGGAAUAGCCAAUGGCGCCUCCCCAGAAUUCUUGUUUCUAAGAAGAUCUUUCCAUGGAAAGGAGGUUUCCUCCAAAAUGGCAUAGAGAACGGAACAGCUUCAAAUGGAACUGAAGCCUCCAUAUU
This 229-nucleotide long non-coding RNA is filed under the name Physcomitrium patens. RNAcentral's name for it is "long non-coding RNA (PPAT_LNC006763)". Lineage: Eukaryota; Viridiplantae; Streptophyta; Bryopsida; Funariales; Funariaceae. The record is from RNAcentral.